GCAUUGAUGGUUCAAUGGUAGAAUUCUUGCCUUGUAUGCAGGAGGCCUGGGUUCAACUCGCAGCCAGUGCA
Non-coding RNA from Trichechus manatus latirostris (Florida manatee), 71 nucleotides. NCBI's taxonomy places the organism in Eukaryota, Metazoa, Chordata, Mammalia, Sirenia, Trichechidae. The record is from the annotation of a RefSeq genome assembly.